GAGCCGUGGAGCUGCAGACCGAAGCGAGUGUGUUUUGGGGCGGAGCUCCAGGUGACCGAGUGUCCAAUGGAAACGUCCCACACCUUUACAGUAUCCAAUCAGCAGCAAGAACAGCAGGUCCGUGUGGGUCGGUCCAGAUCUCCUCUGCUCUGCUGCUCCAGGUGUCUCGGAGGAGAACCAGGGCACAUCAACCACAUCAUGGGCCACUGAGCAGGGGGGGCUCGUCUUCACUCAGCCGUCCAACGGGACUUUACUCCUGCCUGAUGAUGUCAUUGUGAGCCCACCCACUGAAAGGACCAAUCAGGAGCUCCUUUCUAACAUUCCUCUUUGUCCGGAGCUUUCAGCCUCCAAAGAGCAACCAAUCCAACAGCCAGUCCCAUACUUUUAUUCUGAAAAAAAACUAUUUCUGGUUAGCUUGUUAGCGUAGCUCGUGAGUUCUGACACAACUCAUCUGGAGCGAAGCACAUCGUGAGCAGCUGGUUGUCCUCCAAUAUGAGACCUCCUCAUGUUCAGUAGGGGUGGGAAUCUCUUGGCACCUCAGGAUUCCAUUCCAUUCCGAUUCAGAGGUCAACGAUUCGAUUCUAAACCGAUAAAACGAUUAUCGAUGCAUCUCGAUUUUCUCAAAUCUGAGUUUGCUACUCAGAGGUUGCUAAUCA
This is a long non-coding RNA of Gasterosteus aculeatus aculeatus (three-spined stickleback), 656 nucleotides long. Lineage: Eukaryota; Metazoa; Chordata; Actinopteri; Perciformes; Gasterosteidae. The record is from Ensembl.